RNAcentral lists this ribosomal RNA (442 nucleotides) under uncultured bacterium. Its description in RNAcentral is "partial 16S ribosomal RNA". It matches the Rfam family "Bacterial small subunit ribosomal RNA", at positions 338 to 795 of the family's 1533-position model. The record is from RNAcentral.
CCUACGGGUGGCAGCAGUGGGGAAUAUUGGGCAAUGGGCGCAAGCCUGACCCAGCAACGCCGCGUGAAGGAAGAAGGCUUUCGGGUUGUAAACUUCUUUUGUCAGGGAAGAGUAGAAGACGGGACCUGACGAAUAAGCCACGGCUCACUACGUGCCAGCAGCCGCGGUAAUACGUAGGUGGCAAGCGGUGUCCGGAUUUACUGGGUGUAAAGGGCGGGUAGCCGGGUUGACAAGUCAGAUGGGAAAUCCUGCGGCUUAACCGCAGAACUGCAUUUGAAACUGUUGAUCUUGAGUACUGGAGAGGCAGCUGGAAUUCCUAGUGUAGCGGUGAAAUGCGUAGAUAUUAGGAGGAACACCAGUGGCGCAGGCGGUCUGCUGGACAGCAACUGACGGUGAGGCGCGAAAGCGUGGGGAGCAAACAGGAUUAGAUACCCCUGUAGUC